GGGAGGACCACCUCCCAAGGCUAAAUACUACCUGAUGACCGAUAGUGAAGCAGUACCGUGAGGGAAAGGUGAAAAGAACCCCGGGAGGGGAGUGAAAUAGAACCUGAAACCGUGUGCCUACAACCGCUCAGAGCCCCUUAUGAGGGUGAUGAGGUGCUUUUUGUAGAACGAGCCAACGAGUUACGGUAUGUAGCAAGGUUAAGUACUUAAGGUACGGAGCCGAAGGGAAACCGAGUCUGAAUAGGGCGACUAGUUGCAUGCCGUAGACCCGAAACCGGGUGACCUAUCCAUGGCCAGGUUGAAGCGAGGGUAAAACCUCGUGGAGGACCGAACCACGUUGCUGUUGAAAAAGCAUGGGAUGAGCUGUGGAUAGCGGAGAAAUUCCAAUCGAACCCGGAGAUAGCUGGUUCUCUCCGAAAUAGCUUUAGGGCUAGCGUCGAGUAUGAGUAGUGGAGGUAGAGCACUGAAUGGGCUAGGGGGCAUAGCGCUUACCGAACCUUAUCAAACUCCGAAUGCCACAUACUUUGAGCUCGGCAGUCAGACUACGAAUGAUAAGAUCCGUGGUCAAAAGGGAAACAGCCCAGAUCGUCAGCUAAGGUCCCAAAGUGUAAGUUAAGUGGGAAAGGAUGUGAGAUUUCUAAGACAACUAGGAUGUUGGCUUAGAAGC
RNAcentral lists this ribosomal RNA (667 nucleotides) under Clostridium perfringens. Its description in RNAcentral is "partial 23S ribosomal RNA". It matches the Rfam family "Bacterial large subunit ribosomal RNA", at positions 446 to 1113 of the family's 2925-position model. The record is from RNAcentral. Lineage: Bacteria; Bacillati; Bacillota; Clostridia; Eubacteriales; Clostridiaceae.